CCUACGGGAGGCAGCAGUGAGGAAUAUUGGUCAAUGGCCGCAAGGCUGAACCAGCCAAGUCGCGUGAGGGACGACUGCCCUAUGGGUUGUAAACCUCUUUUAUAAGGGAAGAAUAAAUGCCACGUGUACCAUUUUGCCUGUACCUUAUGAAUAAGCAUCGGCUAACUCCGUGCCAGCAGCCGCGGUAAUACGGAGGAUUCGAGCGUUAUCCGGAUUUAUUGGGUUUAAAGGGAGCGUAGGUGGGUUUUUAAGUUAGUUGUUAAAGUGUGGGGCUUCACCUUGGAAUUGCAAUUAAUACUGUAAGACUCGAGUUCAGACGAGGUAGGCGGAAUAAGUGAAGUAGCGGUGAAAUGCUUAGAUAUAACUUAGAACUCCGAUAGCGAAGGCAGCUUACCAAACUGCGACUGACACUGAAGCACGAAAGCGUGGGUAGCAAACAGGAUUAGAUACCCUAGUAGUC
RNAcentral lists this ribosomal RNA (460 nucleotides) under uncultured bacterium. RNAcentral's name for it is "partial 16S ribosomal RNA". It matches the Rfam family "Bacterial small subunit ribosomal RNA", at positions 338 to 795 of the family's 1533-position model. The record is from RNAcentral.